GUAGGUGAACCUGCGGAAGGAUCAUUAACGAGAGAGGGUCCUCGGGGCCCGAACCUCCCACCCCUUGUGUAUCUACCUCUGUUGCUUUGGCGGGCCCGGGGAACACCCCCCGCCGGUUUCGGCUGGUGAGCGCCCGUCGGAGGACCUCCAAACUCGAUCUAUCAAUGACGUCUGAGUGACCAAACAAUGAAUUAAAACUUUCAACAACGGAUCUCUUGGUUCUGGCAUCGAUGAAGAACGCAGCAUCUGA
This 250-nucleotide unclassified non-coding RNA is filed under the name plant metagenome. RNAcentral describes it as "partial contains small subunit ribosomal RNA, internal transcribed spacer 1, and 5.8S ribosomal RNA". The stretch from base 196 to 250 matches the Rfam family "5.8S ribosomal RNA", at positions 1 to 54 of the family's 154-position model. The record is from RNAcentral.